Molecule: ribosomal RNA, 271 nt
Filed under: uncultured bacterium
Lineage: Bacteria
Description: partial 16S ribosomal RNA
Rfam family: Bacterial small subunit ribosomal RNA
Source: RNAcentral
CUUUGCCGGCGACCGGCGCACGGGUGAGUAACACGUAUCCAACCUGCCCUUUACUCGGGGAUAGCCUUUCGAAAGAAAGAUUAAUACCCGAUGGCAUAAUGAUUCCGCAUGGUUUCAUUAUUAAAGGAUUCCGGUAAAGGAUGGGGAUGCGUUCCAUUAGGUUGUUGGUGAGGUAACGGCCCACCAAGCCUUCGAUGGAUAGGGGUUCUGAGAGGAAGGUCCCCCACAUUGGAACUGAGACACGGUCCAAACUCCUACGGGAGGCAGCAUG